UACAGAGGGGGCAAGCGUUGUUCGGAAUUACUGGGCGUAAAGGGCGCGUAGGCGGCCUUCUAAGUCGAACGUGAAAUCCCCGGGCUCAACCCGGGAACUGCGUCCGAUACUGGAAGGCUUGAAUCCGGGAGAGGGAUGUGGAAUUCCAGGUGUAGCGGUGAAAUGCGUAGAUAUCUGGAGGAACACCGGUGGCGAAGGCGACAUCCUGGACCGGUAUUGACGCUGAGACGCGAAAGCGUGGGGAGCGAACAGG
Molecule: ribosomal RNA, 253 nt
Filed under: uncultured bacterium
Lineage: Bacteria
Description: partial 16S ribosomal RNA
Rfam family: Bacterial small subunit ribosomal RNA
Source: RNAcentral